RNAcentral lists this ribosomal RNA (500 nucleotides) under uncultured Tomentella. RNAcentral describes it as "eukaryotic LSU rRNA". The stretch from base 119 to 273 matches the Rfam family "5.8S ribosomal RNA". Lineage: Eukaryota; Fungi; Basidiomycota; Agaricomycetes; Thelephorales; Thelephoraceae. The record is from RNAcentral.
CCCCUUUGUAAUUCUGUGGUCCGAGGGGCUUUGUCYUCUCGCCGUGGUUCUAUGUCUUUACACACACACUGUAAUAAAGUUUUGUGGAAUGCAUGACGCGUUUAACGCAAUACAAUACAACUUUCAGCAACGGAUCUCUUGGCUCUCGCAUCGAUGAAGAACGCAGCGAAAUGCGAUAAGUAAUGUGAAUUGCAGAAUUCAGUGAAUCAUCGAAUCUUUGAACGCACCUUGCGCCCUUUGGCUAUUCCAGAGGGCAUGCCUGUUUGAGUAUCAUGAACACCUCUACUCUCAUGGUUCGCCGUGAUGAGCUUGGACUUUGGGGGUCUUGCCGGCCUGUGGUCGGCUCCUCUCAAAUGAAUCAGCUUGCCAGUCUUUGGUGGCAUCGCAGGUGUGAUAACUAUCUACGCUUUUUGUUUUCCACCGGAACCCUCAGUGAUGGAAGUUCGCUGGAACUCACAAUGUCUUCCCCUCGUGAGACAGCUUCUUGAUGUUUGAUCCCA